This 446-nucleotide ribosomal RNA is filed under the name uncultured bacterium. RNAcentral's name for it is "bacterial SSU rRNA". It matches the Rfam family "Bacterial small subunit ribosomal RNA", at positions 29 to 506 of the family's 1533-position model. The record is from RNAcentral.
ACUAACGCUGGCGGCGUGCCUAACACAUGCAAGUCGAACGAGCAGCAAUGCUAGUGGCAGACGGGUGAGGAAUACAUGGAUAACGUGCCCCGGACACAGGGAUAGCGUUGUGAAAAUGACGGUAAUACCUGAUGACCCCGUAGGACCGCAUGGUCUAGCGGGCAAAGCUCCGACGGUCCGGGAGCGAUUCAUGUCCUAUCAGCUAGUUGGCGGGGUAACGGCCCACCAAGGCUACGACGGGUACCGGGCGUGAGAGCGCGACCCGGCACAUCGGAACUGAGACACGGUCCGGACACCUACGGGUGGCUGCAGCAACGAAUAUUCCGCAAUGGACGAAAGUCUGACGGAGCGACGCCGCGUGCAGGAUGAAGUCCCUCGGGAUGUAAACUGCUGUCAGGGGUUAGGAAUAAAUGACCAGCCCCAGAGGAAGCCACGGCUAACUCCGU